UAUGUGGACAAUGCGACACCCUCUGCCAACGGAAUCGCGAUCGCCAACCUUGUCCGAAUUGCCUUGCUAGCUGAAGACCUGAGCUAUCUCGACAAAGCCGAACAAACCCUACAAGCUUUCGACAACGUGAUGGAAAAAACGCCCCAGUCCUGCCCCAGCCUUUUCUCCGCGCUGGAUUGGUUCCGCAAUCAAACCCUGAUCCACACCGAGCUAGCCACGAUCGCCCAACUCGACACCCAGUAUCUUCCCACUGCUGCCUUUGCGAUCGAGUCUGCGUUACCUGCUGACGCUGUUGGUUUAGUGUGUCAGGGGUUGAGUUGCAAAGAACCGGC
RNAcentral lists this unclassified non-coding RNA (332 nucleotides) under plant metagenome. Its description in RNAcentral is "partial contains 5.8S ribosomal RNA, internal transcribed spacer 2, and large subunit ribosomal RNA". The record is from RNAcentral.